RNAcentral lists this ribosomal RNA (590 nucleotides) under uncultured bacterium. RNAcentral's name for it is "bacterial SSU rRNA". It matches the Rfam family "Bacterial small subunit ribosomal RNA", at positions 335 to 918 of the family's 1533-position model. The record is from RNAcentral.
ACUCCUACGGGAGGCAGCAGUGGGGAAUUUUGGACAAUGGACGCAAGCCUGAUCCAGCCAUGCCGCGUGCAGGAUGAAGGCCUUCGGGUUGUAAACUGCUUUUGUACGGAACGAAAAGACUCCUUUUAAUAAAGGGGGUUCAUGACGGUACCGUAAGAAUAAGCACCGGCUAACUACGUGCCAGCAGCCGCGGUAAUACGUAGGGUGCAAGCGUUAAUCGGAAUUACUGGGCGUAAAGCGUGCGCAGGCGGUUAUAUAAGACAGAUGUGAAAUCCCCGGGCUCAACCUGGGAACUGCAUUUGUGACUGUAUAGCUGGAGUACGGCAGAGGGGGAUGGAAUUCCGCGUGUAGCAGUGAAAUGCGUAGAUAUGCGGAGGAACACCGAUGGCGAAGGCAAUCCCCUGGGCCUGUACUGACGCUCAUGCACGAAAGCGUGGGGAGCAAACAGGAUUAGAUACCCUGGUAGUCCACGCCCUAAACGAUGUCAACUGGUUGUUGGGAAUUCACUUUCUCAGUAACGAAGCUAACGCGUGAAGUUGACCGCCUGGGGAGUACGGUCGCAAGAUUAAAACUCAAAGGAAUUGACGGGG